This 291-nucleotide ribosomal RNA is filed under the name uncultured bacterium. RNAcentral's name for it is "partial 16S ribosomal RNA". It matches the Rfam family "Bacterial small subunit ribosomal RNA", at positions 336 to 643 of the family's 1533-position model. The record is from RNAcentral.
CUCCUACGGGGCGCAGCAGUGGGGAAUAUUGCACAAUGGGGGAAACCCUGAUGCAGCGACGCCGCGUGAGCGAAGAAGUAUUUCGGUAUGUAAAGCUCUAUCAGCAGGGAAGAAAAAUGGCGGUACCUGAGUAAGAAGCACCGGCUAAAUACGUGCCAGCAGCCGCGGUAAUACGUAUGGUGCAAGCGUUAUCCGGAUUUACUGGGGGUAAAGGGCGUGCAGCCGGAGAGGCAAGUCAGAUGUGAAAUCCGCGGGCUCAACUCGCGAACUGCAUUUGAAACUGCUUCCCUU